AGCAUAAUUGGCAUGAUGAGUUGCUCCAAACUCUUUUUUUUGCCAGGUUAUCAACCGUUAGAAUCUUGUUGCUGUAGCUGAGCCAUCCAAAAACUUUCACCUUUUACAGGAUUGGCAACCUCCAAAGGGACUUUUCAAGAGAAGAUCUGACUCCUCCAUGAAUAAGGAAGUCGUAACAACCCAGGACCUCACCCAAAAUG
This 200-nucleotide long non-coding RNA is filed under the name Phoenix dactylifera (date palm). RNAcentral's name for it is "long non-coding RNA (PDAC_LNC005289)". The record is from RNAcentral. Lineage: Eukaryota; Viridiplantae; Streptophyta; Magnoliopsida; Arecales; Arecaceae.